This 358-nucleotide RNase P RNA is filed under the name Candidatus Tantalella remota. Its description in RNAcentral is "RNase P RNA component class A". It matches the Rfam family "Bacterial RNase P class A". Rfam says of the family: Ribonuclease P (RNase P) is a ubiquitous endoribonuclease, found in archaea, bacteria and eukarya as well as chloroplasts and mitochondria. Its best characterised activity is the generation of mature 5'-ends of tRNAs by cleaving the 5'-leader elements of precursor-tRNAs. Cellular RNase Ps are ribonucleoproteins. Lineage: Bacteria; Pseudomonadati; Candidatus Omnitrophota. The record is from RNAcentral.
GAAGCAGAUCGGGUGACCGCUUUCUGCCUUAUGGGCAGACAGAGGAAAGUCCGGGCUUCAUAUAGCGGCGUAGCGGGUAAUGCCCGUCCAUCGCAAGAUGAGGAUAAGAGCCACAGAGACGAGUCAGGUCCUGCUUGCGGGAUCUGGGUGAAACGAGGCAAUCUCUACGCGAAGCAAGACCAAAUAGGGAAGGAACCAGGAAAAUUCGGUACGUGAGGAUGGACUGGUGCGGAGCGGCUAGUUCCGUUAUAACUUCCGGGUAGGUCGCAUGAGGCUCGCAGCAAUGCGGGUCCCAGAUGGAUGGUCACCGGGCAGGUAUUCCUGUCUACAGAACCCGGCUUACAGAUCUGCUUCAAUA